This 179-nucleotide ribosomal RNA is filed under the name uncultured soil bacterium. RNAcentral describes it as "partial 16S ribosomal RNA". It matches the Rfam family "Bacterial small subunit ribosomal RNA", at positions 26 to 212 of the family's 1533-position model. The record is from RNAcentral.
AGAUUGAACGCUGGCGGCAGGCCUAACACAUGCAAGUCGAGCGGCAGCACGGGUACUUGUACCUGGUGGCGAGCGGCGGACGGGUGAGUAAUGCCUAGGAAUCUGCCUGGUAGUGGGGGAUAACGCUCGGAAACGGACGCUAAUACCGCAUACGUCCUACGGGAGAAGCAGGGGCCGUU